This 46-nucleotide transfer RNA is filed under the name Ceratitis capitata (Mediterranean fruit fly). RNAcentral describes it as "tRNA-Pro". Lineage: Eukaryota; Metazoa; Arthropoda; Insecta; Diptera; Tephritidae. RNAcentral also lists the same sequence under 17 other names. The record is from RNAcentral.
UUAUCAUUAAUCCCCAAAAUUAAUAUUUUAAUUAAACUACCUCCUG